This 397-nucleotide ribosomal RNA is filed under the name uncultured bacterium. RNAcentral's name for it is "partial 16S ribosomal RNA". It matches the Rfam family "Bacterial small subunit ribosomal RNA", at positions 360 to 774 of the family's 1533-position model. The record is from RNAcentral.
AACAUUGCACAAUGGGGGAAACCCUGAUGCAGCGACGCCGCGUGAGCGAAGAAGGCCUUCGGGUCGUACAGCUCUGUCCUACGGGAAGAAACGGACGGUACCCAAGAAGAAAGCCCCGGCUACCUACGUGCCAGCAGCCGCGGUAAUACGUAGGGGGCAAGCGUUGUCCGGAAUUAUUGGGCGUAAAGGGUGCGUAGGCGGCCUUUUAAGUCAGAUGUGAAAGCCCACGGCUUAACCGUGGGAUUGCAUUUGAAACUGGAAGGCUUGAGUAUCGGAGAGGGUAGUGGAAUUCCCAGUGUAGCGGUGAAAUGCGUAGAUAUUGGGAGGAACACCAGUGGCGAAGGCGACUACCUGGACGAAAACUGACGCUGAGGCACGAAAGCCAGGGGAGCAAACA